GAUGAACGCUGGCGGCGUGCCUAAUACAUGCAAGUCGAGCGAACGGACGAGAAGCUUGCUUCUCUGAUGUUAGCGGCGGACGGGUGAGUAACACGUGGAUAACCUACCUAUAAGACUGGGAUAACUUCGGGAAACCGGAGCUAAUACCGGAUAAUAUUUUGAACCGCAUGGUUCAAAAGUGAAAGACGGUCUUGCUGUCACUUGUAGAUGGAUCCGCGCUGCAUUAGCUAGUUGGUAAGGUAACGGCUUACCAAGGCAACGAUGCAUAGCCGACCUGAGAGGGUGAUCGGCCACACUGGAACUGAGACACGGUCCAGACUCCUACGGGAGGCAGCAGUAGGGAAUCUUCCGCAAUGGGCGAAAGCCUGACGGAGCAACGCCGCGUGAGUGAUGAAGGUCUUCGGAUCGUAAAACUCUGUUAUUAGGGAAGAACAUAUGUGUAAGUAACUGUGCACACCUUGACGGUACCUAAUCAGAAAGCCACGGCUAACUACGUG
RNAcentral lists this ribosomal RNA (497 nucleotides) under uncultured bacterium. Its description in RNAcentral is "partial 16S ribosomal RNA". It matches the Rfam family "Bacterial small subunit ribosomal RNA", at positions 28 to 507 of the family's 1533-position model. The record is from RNAcentral.